Molecule: ribosomal RNA, 662 nt
Filed under: Pseudoniphargus sp. 6-Morocco A
Lineage: Eukaryota; Metazoa; Arthropoda; Malacostraca; Amphipoda; Allocrangonyctidae
Description: 12S ribosomal RNA
Source: RNAcentral
AAAAAAAAAAAAAAAAAAAAAAAGUAAAAUCAUUGCUUAAAUAUUGAUAUAAAUAUUAUUUUUAUAACUGAGGCGGUAAGUUAGUUAAUAGGUUUUGUAAUAGAAAUAUUUAUUAAAAUUAGUUAAGUUUGUGCCAGCAUCUGCGGUUAGACUAGGAAUUUAGUUAAUAUUUUUUAGGGUUUAUGAUGUCAAAAAGUUUAAGAUAUAAAUUUUGGUGAAAUAAUACGUUGAAUUUUAAUUAAGUUAAUUAAAAUAGGUAUAAAUAAAGCAGGAUUAGAUACCCUGUUAUUUUUUAAUUUUGUUUUCUAAGUAUUAAGGUUAAAUUUAGAAGAUUUGGCGGCUGGGACAAAUUAAAGGAGUUUGUUUUUUAAUUUGAUGUGACUCAUUAUUUUUUACUUAUUUUAUUUAGUAUACCGUCAUUUAGAUAGUUUAUAAUUAAUUAACUAUUGUAAUGGGAUUAAGAAAAUUAGAUCAAGGUGCAGAGAUAAAUAAGGAUAAAUUAACUACAAUAAUAUAUCAUUAAACUUACUCUUUUAAAUCUAAGAUUGCAGGUGGAUUUAAUUGUAAUUAAAUUUAUAUGAAAUUUGUUUUAGUGUACAAAUUGCCCGUCAUUCUCUAUGAGACAAGUCGAAACAAAGUAGGGCUAUCGGAAGUUGGGCCUA